Peromyscus maniculatus bairdii (prairie deer mouse) is the source of this 2987-nucleotide non-coding RNA. NCBI's taxonomy places the organism in Eukaryota, Metazoa, Chordata, Mammalia, Rodentia, Cricetidae. The record is from RefSeq and is a predicted model, not a curated record.
AAUGGGUUAAUUUAAAUUGUAAGAGCUAGUGGGACAAGCCUAUGCCAAGGCCAAAUUUCAUAAUUAAUAAUAAGUUUCCUUGUCAUUAUUUGUGAGCUGGCGGCCCAAAGAAAAAAAUCUGAUUACAAAAGGGGGCAUUGGCCUGGUGGUGCCAGACUGAGACAAGGUGCUUUGGGAAGAGACCUCCAGAUCCCAGGCACAAGCGAACCCAGGUCUGAGGGCAGCCUCCGGCAAUGAGCCAGACAGAAGGCAAGACCCUAGCCAAGCGGAGUAGGGUCUGGGAUAGGUUCUAGGCCCAGGAGAGGGAACACACUAGGGAAGCUUCCAGAAGCCUAUGGCGCACCAAUGGAACCAGGCAAGUAUUCCAAGGAAGUUGGGGGGGCGGGCGGGAGUGUUUAGACCCAGUGGAUGGUGAGUGUGGUAUUUAUAGAGAGAGGGGCUGUUGAGAUUGAGCUGUUGUGCCUCCCUUGUGCUCAUGCGGCAGACAUCACCAAUCAAUUCCUAUACCUUUUCCUGAUGAGUCCUUACAAUGACCUCAGAACUGUUCCAAACAGAAACCCAGCAGUGGUGGCUGAUAGGUCAGAGCUGGCAUGCCAUCACUGGCUUGCCGAGGAGCUGUUUGGGGGGAUGGAACUGGUUACAGCAGAGCCAAGUAACCCAGGGAACCCAGCAGAGGCAUGGUGGUCAGAGUUCACUCGUGAAGUGAACACGUGCAGGCUGUUUGGGCCGGGCACUAACUACUCUGUGGCUGGGGGAAAAAGCUUCCAGUAGAGGAGAGCAGGCCGGCUCAUAGACCAAGCACAGGAAGAGAGACAUUGAACUCAGCAAAUGUAACCGCUAAGACCUCCUGAUGAGAUGGGAUCUGCGGAGGGAGAUGCACGGAGCAGGAAGGGUUUUGUCACUAAGGCUGAAGAACAGGGCUGCUUCCGAGGAAGACCAUCUCAGACUGAUCUGGCUCCAUCUCUGCUCUCUAGGAGAGAAGCCGACUUGGUGGCUGGAGCCGGCAUAAUUACUGGGGAGUCACAGGCACCACGUCCAUGUCUGAAGCUGGGGGCAGCCUACUGGCAUCUGCUUCCCAUGGGCUCAGAGUCCACGCUGCCCACUUGACUUUGGGGAAUUAGCCUGGGGCCUGCCGACCUCCUGGCCUUGGCUUCCGGAUGGCCUAAGUGUCAGCUGGCUCUCUGAGGGCCAUCUGUCUUGCUUUUUUUCUAAUAAGAGUUCUUCCUGCUUUAGGAGAGGAAAAAUGAUGUUCGGGUUAUUUUCCGCUUUAAGCCAGUCCUUGCCACUUUAUAGAAAAAUAAAUAAAUAGACAAUCGGAAGAUAGAGAAGUGUAUAAGAAAACUCUCAAUUCUGCCACCCAAAGACAUCUCCUGCUGCGGUGCGUGUCCCUCGGGCCUCUUGCUUCUGUUUGUGUGUUUUGUUUGGCUUGGUUUUUGCUUGGGUGUGUUUGUGCUGAACAUACAAUUCUGUUGCUUCCUUCUGCACACGGCGUUUUUAGAAUAAGCAUCUUCCGUGUUAUUACAAACCCUUGGUAAACAUCAUUUCAAUAGUCACAGAAUAUUCCACCGAGUGAAUGGAUCACGCUCUAUUUAAACAUGCUCCCCUCCUUUUGGGCCUGUGGAUUUGUACCCCCUGUUGAUUUCUUUUUCUAUCAUAAAUAAAAUGGCCUUUGUUUUCUCAUUCUUCUCUGAGGUCUCCACCAAAACUAGAAAAGACAGGUCAAGUCCUAUCCGGAAGUGUGUGGCUGCUGAAAUGAACAGCCUCUAGCAUUUACCUAGAAUUGGGGCUUCACCCCUUUUGAACUGUAGGGCACACAGCUGACCUUGGUGAUGCCCAGUGAAAAAAAUCAAAGCUGGCUGGUGGGAAGGAGUGGCCCAGGCAUCCUUCAUACAGAGUUCUCAGUGAAAUGACAUUGUCAACCUUGCACACGCUUGUGUACACAGCUCCUCACUGCCACUGGUGAGAAAAUGGAGCUCAGAGAACUUAAGGAAACAUCUUCCCUAGAGGCCGAUUCUGAAGACUUUUCCUUUCUUCAAAGCACACUAGAGGAGCCGAGAGUGUGGCUUGGUCGAGCGCUUGCCUGGCAGGCAUGAAGCCCUGGGUUACAUCUCCAACAUUCAUAAACCGGGUUCGGUGGGACCACAUCUAUAAACUUUGCACUCAGGAGGUGAAGACCGGAGACUAUGAAGUUCAAGGUCAUCCUUGACUAUCUAGUUCGACCCCACCAAGCUCAAGGGGACGAUGUGAGACCAAGACGACUCCCUGUUAAGCCAACAGCCCAGGAACAGCUCCAGAACAUGCCCCAGAAGAACCCCCAGCUGUCCUGUAGAGUCCAACUGGACAAAGGUCCCACCCCCACCCCACACCCCACCCCCGUGUGUUCCACUCCCUUGCUCAGUGCCUGGGCCUCUGCUCUGAGGUUUCUCGAGAUGAAAGGUAGAUGUCCUAUUUUAGGGCAUCUGGGUUUCAGGUACGUAAGCACCUGCUCUGCUCAGGCAGGGGGGGGGGGGAGUUCAGGACCAACCUGCUUUGCUGAUUGGUGGUUACCCAGGUCAGAACACUGCCAUUUUCUUCGGAUGACUUAGAGUUCAGAGCGUCAAACCUCAGCUCCAAGUGGAGGGGCACCUUUCCCUUACAGGUUGGGAGUAACCACUCCUUGGGAAGAAGAGGGCGCACCCUGACAGGAAGAGACUCAGACACAGGCAUCUAACGCUUCCUGCCUUUGUCAAGCUUACCUGGAAGGGCCCUGUGGCUCUGCCUCCCCCCAGAGUCCCCUGCAGCUGAAGCGCCACUUAGAAGCAGCCCCUAGGCAGACGUGAGGCUGCGGCAGAAAGAGGAAGAUGAAAUCAGGGCAGGAGCCACCUUCAGGGGGCUGGGGAACAGAAGAAAAGGACAGCCUGGAGGGAAGACUCCGCAAACAGCUCCCAGCCUCGGGUCCUUUGAAAAGUGAGAAUCGGGUCAAAAUAAAACAAAAAAUGAGAUGGUAA